AUACGGAGGAUCCGAGCGUUAUCCGGAUUUAUUGGGUUUAAAGGGUGCGCAGGCGGCCAUUUAAGUCAGCGGUUAAAUCGUGGGGCUCAACCCCAUUCUGCCGUUGAUACUGGGUGGCUUGGUUGCGGUCGAGGUUGGCGGAAUUCGUUGUGUAGCGGUGAAAUGCAUAGAUAUGACGAAGAACACCGAUUGCGUAGGCAGCUGACCAGAUCGCAAAUGACGCUCAUGCACGAAAGUGCGGGGAUCGAACAGGAUUAGAUACCCUGGUAGUCCGCACAGUAAACGAUGAAUACUUGUUUUCGGCGAUAUAAUGUCGGAGGCAAAGCGAAAGCGAUAAGUAUUCCACCUGGGGAGUACGCCGGCAACGGUGAAACUCAAAUGAAUUGACGGGG
This 392-nucleotide ribosomal RNA is filed under the name uncultured bacterium. Its description in RNAcentral is "partial 16S ribosomal RNA". It matches the Rfam family "Bacterial small subunit ribosomal RNA", at positions 523 to 918 of the family's 1533-position model. The record is from RNAcentral.